CUGAGCAGCAACGCCGCGUGAGGGACGACGGCCUUCGGGUUGUAAACCUCUUUUAGCAGGGAAGAAGCGAAAGUGACGGUACCUGCAGAAAAAGCGCCGGCUAACUACGUGCCAGCAGCCGCGGUAAUACGUAGGGCGCAAGCGUUAUCCGGAAUUAUUGGGCGUAAAGAGCUCGUAGGCGGUCUGUCGCGUCUGCUGUGAAAACCCGAGGCUCAACCUCGGGCCUGCAGUGGGUACGGGCAGACUAGAGUGCGGUAGGGGAGAUUGGAAUUCCUGGUGUAGCGGUGGAAUGCGCAGAUAUCAGGAGGAACACCGAUGGCGAAGGCAGAUCUCUGGGCCGUAACUGACGCUGAGGAGCGAAAGGGUGGGGAGCAAACAGGCUUAGAUACCCUGGUAGUCCACCCCGUAAACGUUGGGAACUAGUUGUGGGGUCCAUUCCACGGAUUCCGUGACGCAGCUAACGCAUUAAGUUCCCCGCCUGGGGAGUACGGCCGCAAGGCUAAAACUCAAAGGAAUUGACGG
This 522-nucleotide ribosomal RNA is filed under the name uncultured bacterium. RNAcentral's name for it is "bacterial SSU rRNA". It matches the Rfam family "Bacterial small subunit ribosomal RNA", at positions 383 to 916 of the family's 1533-position model. The record is from RNAcentral.